RNAcentral lists this ribosomal RNA (496 nucleotides) under uncultured bacterium. Its description in RNAcentral is "partial 16S ribosomal RNA". It matches the Rfam family "Bacterial small subunit ribosomal RNA", at positions 29 to 507 of the family's 1533-position model. The record is from RNAcentral.
AUGAACGCUGGCGGCGUGCCUAAUACCUGCAAGUCGAGCGAACGGACGAGAAGCUUGCUUCUCUGAUGUUAGCGGCGGACGGGUGAGUAACACGUGGAUAACCUACCUAUAAGACUGGGAUAACUUCGGGAAACCGUAGCUAAUACCGGAUAAUAUUUUGAACCGCAUGGUUCAAAAGUGAAAGACGGUCUUGCUGUCACUUAUAGAUGGAUCCGCGCUGCAUUAGAUAGUUGGUAAGGUAACGGCUUACCAAGGCAACGAUGCAUAGCCGACCUGAGAGGGUGAUCGGCCACACUGGAACUGAGACACGGUCCAGACUCCUACGGGAGGCAGCAGUAGGGAAUCUUCCGCAAUGGGCGAAAGCCUGACGGAGCAACGCCGCGUGAGUGAUGAAGGUCUUCGGAUCGUAAAACUCUGUUAUUAGGGAAGAACAUAUGUGUAAGUAACUGUGCACAUCUUGACGGUACCUAAUCAGAAAGCCACGGCUAACUACGUG